RNAcentral lists this small RNA (19 nucleotides) under Arabidopsis thaliana (thale cress). RNAcentral's name for it is "ATSL056810". The record is from RNAcentral. Lineage: Eukaryota; Viridiplantae; Streptophyta; Magnoliopsida; Brassicales; Brassicaceae.
UCUAUCUUCUUCUUUUUUU